RNAcentral lists this ribosomal RNA (600 nucleotides) under uncultured bacterium. RNAcentral's name for it is "bacterial SSU rRNA". It matches the Rfam family "Bacterial small subunit ribosomal RNA", at positions 726 to 1330 of the family's 1533-position model. The record is from RNAcentral.
CUUCCAGCGUGUAACUGACGCUAAAGCUCGAAAGUGCGGGUAUCGAACAGGAUUAGAUACCCUGGUAGUCCGCACGGUAAACGAUGGAUGCCCGCUGUUGGCGAUACAGUGUCAGCGGCCAAGCGAAAGCGUUAAGCAUCCCACCUGGGGAGUACGCCGGCAACGGUGAAACUCAAAGGAAUUGACGGGGGCCCGCACAAGCGGAGGAACAUGUGGUUUAAUUCGAUGAUACGCGAGGAACCUUACCCGGGCUUGAACUGCAGGAGAACGAUUCAGAGAUGAUGAGGUCCUUCGGGACUCCUGUGGAGGUGCUGCAUGGUUGUCGUCAGCUCGUGCCGUGAGGUGUCGGCUUAAGUGCCAUAACGAGCGCAACCCUUUCUGGUAGUUGCCAUCAGGUUAUGCUGGGCACUCUGCCAGUACUGCCACCGUAAGGUGUGAGGAAGGUGGGGAUGACGUCAAAUCAGCACGGCCCUUACGUCCGGGGCUACACACGUGUUACAAUGGGUGGUACAGAGAGUUGGUCGCAGGCAAUUGCGAUCUAAUCCUUAAAGCCAUCCUCAGUUCGGAUUGGGGUCUGCAACCCGACCCCAUGAAGCUGGA